GGAUUAGAUACCCUGGUAGUCCACGCCGUAAACGAUGUCUACUAGUUGUUGGGGAACUUGAUUCUUUAGUAACGAAGCUAACGCGAUAAGUAGACCGCCUGGGGAGUACGGCCGCAAGGUUAAAACUCAAAUGAAUUGACGGGGGCCCGCACAAGCGGUGGAGCAUGUGGUUUAAUUCGAAGCAACGCGAAGAACCUUACCUACACUUGACAUCCAGAGAACUUUCUAGAGAUAGAUUGGUGCCUUCGGGAGCUCUGAGACAGGUGCUGCAUGGCUGUCGUCAGCUCGUGUCG
This 293-nucleotide ribosomal RNA is filed under the name uncultured bacterium. Its description in RNAcentral is "partial 16S ribosomal RNA". It matches the Rfam family "Bacterial small subunit ribosomal RNA", at positions 775 to 1067 of the family's 1533-position model. The record is from RNAcentral.